GCCAGGCGUGAUGGCUCAUGCCUGUAAUCUCAACACUUGGGAGGCUGAGGUGGGAGGAUCACUUGAGUCCAGGAGUUUGAGACCAGCCUGGGCAACAUAGUGAGACCCUAUCUCUA
RNAcentral lists this non-coding RNA (116 nucleotides) under Gorilla gorilla gorilla (western lowland gorilla). Lineage: Eukaryota; Metazoa; Chordata; Mammalia; Primates; Hominidae. The record is from Rfam by way of RNAcentral.